This is a long non-coding RNA of Amblyraja radiata (thorny skate), 1474 nucleotides long. RefSeq lists it as uncharacterized. NCBI's taxonomy places the organism in Eukaryota, Metazoa, Chordata, Chondrichthyes, Rajiformes, Rajidae. The transcript is spliced from 2 exons. The record is from RefSeq and is a predicted model, not a curated record.
CGGCUGUCAGUCUCUCCCCGGUUGCUCCAGUUUACACCGCAGCCUGUGCAGCCAGUCCCAAGUCACCGUGGCCGCUGCUGCAGGGACGCCGCCGAGUGCAGGAGCCGGGGCACUUCCCAUCCACUCCCCUCUCUGUGAUGGUGGGUAUCCCGGGGCUAGAGGAGUUGUGGAAGGCACCGGGCAGCAGCGGAGCGAGGAACAGCUCCAAUACACGCCUGGCAAUUUCGCUCCACAGUCAACCCCAAUCUCCUCUUGCACUCCAUACAGUGUGAUUGUUCUGAUUUGUCAAUCAUUGUUCAUUUCAAACAGUUCAUGGACGCCUUCCUUGACAUAUUUUAUGCUGCAUCGUACAAGGCCCAUGGGAUGAAUAAUACCUCUCAGCCAACAAAGAGAUAUGAAGAAUGAAAUUCAGUAGCCCCCGAAAACGGCGCGCAGAUUGAGAUGUGGGAUUAACCUGUGGUCGUUAUUUAUGAUGCCGUCUGCUAAUGAGCAUGACUGCGGCAUGCAGCGAGCACUGACUCUGCCGGUGGGUAGCUCCAAACCGCAGCAACACAAAGCUAGCCUGGACUGCUGAAAGGAAGGAAACGUGCUUUGUGCUCUCGAUACAUGAUCUAAUCAUGACUCUACUAAGGGGAGAUUUUGCAACAUUGCACUGCAGUUUUAAUGCAAGCUGGGGAUGAAAGAAGGAGCCGUAUUAUUUUGUCAAGAGACCGGGAUAGUUGAUAAACACCCAUAUGGCAAUGACACCGGACAGUUGUGAUCGGCAAUAUUCGGUCACAAGUUGACAGCCAGAUCACUGACAUUUUUAUAGCUCCCGAUUCUUUUGCAGGACUAGAUGGCACAUAAUCGCAGACAACGGGGGCUAAUUGCGGGGAGGUACACAAAAAUGCUGGAGAAACUCAGCGGGUGCAGCAGCAUCUAUGCAGCGAAGGAAAUAGGCAACAUUUCGGGCCGAAACCCUUCUUCAGACUUAUUCUUAAACACUAAUUGUGGGGAGACAGGUAUCAAGAUAGGACGGACCGUUCUGUUAUUAUCGGGAAGACGGUGGAGGAUCUCACCCAUAAAAUCGGCCGCAUUACUCAUCGGAACCUUUUUCAAAUAUCCAUCCAAUUAAGAUAUGGAUUAUAAUUUGUACCACAGAAUUUUGCUGAUGCUACCGAGAGGAAAAAAGAAAAAAAAGAGAAUAAAUAAAUGCAAACAAACAUAAACGUCGAUUAUUGCUGAUCAUUUCAGAUUGUAAAGUUCAGUUACACUUUAAUAGAGUUUAGUAACAAACACUUUAUCGAGCUUUCGAGUCAAGCACUGUCAAUUAAAUAGUUUACUUCAUUGCAACCUCUGGUGAAAUGACCAGCCAUUACUUGAGAUUUCAACAUUAUGUUGUGUAACUUUAACUGUGAAGACAAUAGGAUAUAUUGCAUAUAUUGUGUGAAAUACUGCAUAUAUUUUGUAAUACAUUAAUAUAUGAGUGCCCCAA